RNAcentral lists this unclassified non-coding RNA (238 nucleotides) under Hevea brasiliensis (rubber tree). Lineage: Eukaryota; Viridiplantae; Streptophyta; Magnoliopsida; Malpighiales; Euphorbiaceae. The record is from RNAcentral.
GAAGGAAGCAGGUUGUUCUGAACCCUUUCUUACGUCAUUUCUGUUCUGGUACUGAUGUGAGUUCUGCUAUAGAUGCUAUAAAUAAUGCUGAAUUACGCUUUCGGAUUCUUGCAGAUUUCUGGGAUAAUUUUAAUAGAGAAGAAGAAGAAGAACGUAAUAGGAAUUUAGGAUACUAAGAUGAUUAUUUUCAAUAAAAGAACUAAUAAUAAUAGUAUGAAAAAGUAUAAUUGGAUUUUUU